Molecule: ribosomal RNA, 913 nt
Filed under: uncultured compost archaeon
Lineage: Archaea
Description: bacterial SSU rRNA
Rfam family: Archaeal small subunit ribosomal RNA
Source: RNAcentral
UUCCGGUUGAUCCCGCCGGAGGUCACUGCUAUCGGGGUUCGAUUAAGCCAUGCGAGUCGAGAGGGUUCAGACCCUCGGCGGACUGCUCAGUAACACGUGGAUAAUCUGCCCUAUGGUGGAGGAUAACCCCGGGAAACUGGGGAUAAUACUCCAUAAGUCAGGAGUACUGGAAUGUCUCCUAACUGAAAGUUUCGGCGCCAUAGGAUGAAUCUGCGGCCGAUUAGGUAGUUGUUGGGGUAACGGCCCAACAAGCCCGUAAUCGGUACGGGUUGUGGGAGCAAGAGCCCGGAGAUGGAAUCUGAGACACGAUUCCAGGCCCUACGGGGCGCAGCAGGCGCGAAAACUUUACAAUGCAGGAAACUGUGAUAAGGGAACCCCGAGUGCCCGUACACGCGGGCUGUCCCGGUGUUUAAAACACAUCGGAAGAAAGGGCCGGGCAAGACCGGUGCCAGCCGCCGCGGUAAUACCGGCGGCUCGAGUGGUGACCACUUUUAUUGGGCUUAAAGCGUUCGUAGCUUGAUUUUUAAGUCUCUUGGGAAAUCUCACGGCUUAACUGUGAGGCGUCUAAGAGAUACUGGGAAUCUAGGGACCGGGAGAGGUAAGAGGUACUUCAGGGGUAGAAGUGAAAUUCUGUAAUCCUUGAGGGACCACCGAUGGCGAAGGCAUCUUACCAGAACGGCUUCGACAGUGAGGAACGAAAGCUGGGGGAGCGAACGGGAUUAGAUACCCCGGUAGUCCCAGCCGUAAACUAUGCGCGUUAGGUGUGCCUGUAACUACGAGUUACCGGGGUGCCGAAGUGAAAACGUGAAACGUGCCGCCUGGGAAGUACGGUCGCAAGGCUGAGACUUAAAGGAAUUGGCGGGGGAGCACCACAACGGGUGGAGCCUGCGGUUUAAUUGGAUUCAACGCCGGG